UGGGGAAUUUUGGACAAUGGGCGAAAGCCUGAUCCAGCAAUGCCGCGUGAGUGAAGAAGGCCUUCGGGUUGUAAAGCUCUUUUGUCGGGGAAGAAACGGUGAGAGCUAAUAUCUUUUGCUAAUGACGGUACCUGAAGAAUAAGCACCGGCUAACUACGUGCCAGCAGCCGCGGUAAUACGUAGGGUGCAAGCGUUAAUCGGAAUUACUGGGCGUAAAGCGUGCGCAGGCGGUUUUGUAAGUCUGAUGUGAAAUCCCCGGGCUCAACCUGGGAAUUGCAUUGGAGACUGCAAGGCUAGAAUCUGGCAGAGGGGGGUAGAAUUCCACGUGUAGCAGUGAAAUGCGUAGAUAUGUGGAGGAACACCGAUGGCGAAGGCAGCCCCCUGGGUCAAGAUUGACGCUCAUGCACGAAAGCGUGGGGAGCAAACAGGAUUAGAUACCCUGGUAGUCCACGCCCUAAACGAUGUCUACUAGUUGUCGGGUCUUAAUUGACUUGGUAACGCAGCUAACGCGUGAAGUAGACCGCCUGGGGAGUACGGUCGCAAGAUUAAAACUCAAAGGAUUGNCGGGGUCAUAGCUGUUUCCUG
RNAcentral lists this ribosomal RNA (585 nucleotides) under uncultured bacterium. RNAcentral's name for it is "partial 16S ribosomal RNA". It matches the Rfam family "Bacterial small subunit ribosomal RNA", at positions 355 to 1376 of the family's 1533-position model. The record is from RNAcentral.